This 253-nucleotide ribosomal RNA is filed under the name uncultured bacterium. Its description in RNAcentral is "partial 16S ribosomal RNA". It matches the Rfam family "Bacterial small subunit ribosomal RNA", at positions 524 to 776 of the family's 1533-position model. The record is from RNAcentral.
UACGGGGGGGGUAAGCGUUGUUCGGAAUUACUGGGCGUAAAGGGCUCGUAGGCGGCCAACUAAGUCAGACGUGAAAUCCCUCAGCUUAACUGGGGAACUGCGUCUGAUACUGGAUGGCUUGGAUCCGGGAGAGGGAUGCGGAAUUCCAGGUGUAGCGGUGAAAUGCGUAGAUAUCAGGAGGAACACCGAUGGCGAAGGCAGGUCUCUGGGCUGACACUGACGCUCAUGCACGAAAGCGUGGGGAGCAAACAGG